UUUUCACGGGAUCCGUGCCGUAGCUAAGCAUAAGUACCCCGCCUGGGGAGUACGGCCGCAAGGCUAAAAUCAAAGGAAUUGACGGGGCCCGCACAAGCGGCGGAGCAUGUGGUUUAAUUCGAUGCAACGCGAAGAACCUUACCUGGGUUUGACAUACACCAGACGCGGCUAGAGAUAGUCGUUCCCUUGUGGUUGGUGUACAGGUGGUGCAUGGCUGUCGUCAGCUCGUGUCGUGAGAUGUUGGGUUAAGUCCCGCAACGAGCGCAACCCUUGUCCUGUAUUGCCAGCGGGUUAUGCCGGGGACUUGCAGGAGACUGCCGGGGUCAACUCGGAGGAAGGUGGGGAUGACGUCAAGUCAUCAUGCCCCUUAUGUCCAGGGCUUCACACAUGCUACAAUGGCUGGUACAGAGGGCUGCGAUACCGUGAGGUGGAGCGAAUCCCUUAAAGCCAGUCUCAGUUCGGAUUGGGGUUUGCAACUCGACCCCAUGAAGUCGGAGUCGCUAGUAAUCGCAGAUCAGCAACGCUGCGGUGAAUACGUUCCCGGGCCUUGUACACACCGCCCGUCACGUCAUGAAAGUCGGUAACACCUGAAGCCGGACCCCGUACCC
Molecule: ribosomal RNA, 608 nt
Filed under: Gordonia terrae
Lineage: Bacteria; Bacillati; Actinomycetota; Actinomycetes; Mycobacteriales; Gordoniaceae
Description: bacterial SSU rRNA
Rfam family: Bacterial small subunit ribosomal RNA
Source: RNAcentral